GUACCCCUACUGGCACCAUCCGUGUUACACAUAAUUUUUCCUUUUGGUGGAGGUUGCCACAGUACCUUCUUGUAGUGCAUAAUGGGUUUGAGUUUGUUCAGGAAGUCAAUAACUUAUGGCCAGUGUAUUGGUACGUUUUUUAGAGUUGAGAACUUAGUGUUUAUCAGUAGCCAAAUAUCAAUAUUUACUUGGUACACUAGUUUAUUGAAACUUAUCAUGCCUUCAUAUAUACUUGAAAGUAUUCCUCAUUUUCCAUAAUUCUCAUAUGAUUUUACUAGGGAUAGCCUUCAUUAUCUACUAUAGUUUUGUGUGCCCAUGUAUAGUCCACCACUUGGUAAUUAGUUGUAUCAGUUGUCCUUCUGGGUUGAUACCUGCACAAAAAGUAAAAGUUCAUCAAAUCUUUGCAGCUGUAGGAGAGGUUAGAAAAACAUGUGUCAUGGUCUUCCUUUUUGGAUUAGAGUAGCAGUAACAUCUAGAAGAGAAGCUGAUACCCAUUCUUUGCACCACUUCAUAUAUGGGCAACCUAAACUUCCAAGCCCUCCAUAAGGUAAAUGUCAUCUUAAAAGGUAAUUUUUUGCACCAGAUAUUGCUAAAUAUGUCUUCGUUUUAUUCUCUGUGCCUUAUAUAAUGCCACACGCUCUUACUGAAAAAUUCCCACUCUGUUCUAGCAUCCAAAUUGGCUUGUCUAGCCCUUUGUUGUUGUUUGGAGGGGUAAUUGUGAUAAUGAUAUACUUUAUUAACUCAUCUGGUAAGUAUUGUGCUAAAUAUUCUAAAUUCCAUCUCUUCCCUUAUGUGAACUUAUCAAGCUCUAUCUCGUCAUCUUCCACAGCCUCCGGUGAUACCAACCCACCUCUCAAGAUGUAUUUUAGAAGAAAAUAUCGACAAAAGAAUAAAGAGUUGAAUUCUGGACAAACAACUGCUACAACAGUUGUCUAGCAGUUGUCUAGCAGUUAUUAUUCCUAGUUUAUAGUUUAUAGUGUCAAGUCUUAUCCUUUUACGUUCUCUAUAUAUAUGUAAUUAGGAUUAGUUAUUGGUAUUAUGUAAUUAAGAAUCAAAACUACUAUUUUCUGGAGUCUUGUCCUCUCCAUACGGACAACUUUAUCUGUAUAGUUGUGCCACAAACUAUUUACAGUAAAUCUACUUGCUUUGUUCUAUUUU
RNAcentral lists this long non-coding RNA (1158 nucleotides) under Solanum tuberosum (potato). Its description in RNAcentral is "long non-coding RNA (STUB_LNC010723)". The record is from RNAcentral. Lineage: Eukaryota; Viridiplantae; Streptophyta; Magnoliopsida; Solanales; Solanaceae.